This 320-nucleotide unclassified non-coding RNA is filed under the name plant metagenome. Its description in RNAcentral is "partial contains 5.8S ribosomal RNA, internal transcribed spacer 2, and large subunit ribosomal RNA". The stretch from base 1 to 105 matches the Rfam family "5.8S ribosomal RNA", at positions 50 to 154 of the family's 154-position model. The record is from RNAcentral.
GAAAUGCGAUAAGUAAUGUGAAUUGCAGAAUUCAGUGAAUCAUCGAAUCUUUGAACGCACAUUGCGCCCGCCAGUAUUCUGGCGGGCAUGCCUGUUCGAGCGUCAUUACAACCCUCAGGCCCCCGGGCCUGGCGUUGGGGAUCGGCGGAAGCCCCCUGCGGGCACAACGCCGUCCCCCAAAUACAGUGGCGGUCCCGCCGCAGCUUCCAUUGCGUAGUAGCUAACACCUCGCAACUGGAGAGCGGCGCGGCCACGCCGUAAAACACACAACUUCUGAAUGUUGACCUCGAAUCAGGUAGGAAUACCCGCUGAACUUAAGC